CAGCGCCACAAGUGGCAAUCGGUUUUAUUGGGCCUAAAGCGUCCGUAGCCGGUCAUGUAAAUCUUUUAUGAAAUUGUUGGGCUCAACCUAACGAAUGGCAGGAGACACUGCAUGACUUGAGAUCGGGAGGAGUCAGAGGUAUUCAGGGGGGAGCGGUAAAAUGCAUUAAUCCCUUGAGGACCACCUAUGGCGAAGGCAUCUGACCAGAACGAAUCUGACGGUGAGGGACGAAAGCUAGGGGAGCGAACCGGAUUAGAUACCCGAGUAGUCC
RNAcentral lists this ribosomal RNA (271 nucleotides) under uncultured archaeon. RNAcentral describes it as "partial 16S ribosomal RNA". It matches the Rfam family "Archaeal small subunit ribosomal RNA", at positions 477 to 747 of the family's 1478-position model. The record is from RNAcentral.